UGGGGUAUGGCUCAGCUGUAGAGUGCUUGCCUCACAUGUAUGAGGCCCUGGGUUCAAUCCCCAGCAGCACAA
Molecule: transfer RNA, 72 nt
Filed under: Ictidomys tridecemlineatus (thirteen-lined ground squirrel)
Lineage: Eukaryota; Metazoa; Chordata; Mammalia; Rodentia; Sciuridae
Description: Spermophilus tridecemlineatus (thirteen-lined ground squirrel) tRNA
Rfam family: tRNA
About the family: Transfer RNA (tRNA) molecules are approximately 80 nucleotides in length. Their secondary structure includes four short double-helical elements and three loops (D, anti-codon, and T loops).
Source: Rfam by way of RNAcentral